Molecule: long non-coding RNA, 5970 nt
Organism: Eubalaena glacialis (North Atlantic right whale)
Lineage: Eukaryota; Metazoa; Chordata; Mammalia; Artiodactyla; Balaenidae
Exons: 2
Source: RefSeq, a predicted model, not a curated record
UUUGUUUUUAAUGACAUUUAAGUUUUUUUGUUUUUGUUUUUUUUUAAAGGAACAUUUUAGGACAAAAACUAAGCUUCUUGUAUUGCCUGAGGCAGAGCCUGGCUUCUUUCUUCCUUGAAGGCCUUCUGCAAAAUACAGAAGCCAGCAUUUGCUGGCCUUGAUGUUCACCACUCCCACCCUGCCCUCUGGAAGUGCAGGGCUACAGGGCAUCCAGGAUGUGGUCGAUCUUGGUGACCAGCUCCUGUCGCUUUCCCGAGAUGAGCUUCUCGUUCUCGACGUACGUGUCUUUCUUGAGCUUGCCAGCCACCAGCCGCUCGGCCUCCACUGCCGACUUCAGUACCAGCUCCUUGACCUGCGCGUCCAGUUUCUGCAUUUCGCUCACCUGGCCGAGGCAAGAGCAGGGCGGGGCUCGAGUGUCCUCCGUGGCCCCACCCCACAGACCCACCACCUCCCGGGGCAGAGGGGCUGCUGUGGAGGGAGAGGCCUGCUUCACCCCCUGAAAGGCCUGUUCCUGCAAGCUCUGGCCCCUGUGAGCCAGGCCCUUCACCACCCCGGCCCCAGAUGUGGAGAGACUGUAAGGACCGAGUGUGGAAAUACCGACACCCCCCAGCACGGUGCCAGACGCAUGCAGGCACUCGGUGAACGUUUGUUCUCUUCCCUCCCAAGGCCAAACUUGGCCAGGGACUUGAUCAGGCAGAGGGCCAACGGCAGCGGGUGGGCGACUCCUGUUAUCACCAACUGGGUGUCAGGCUGAGGCCUUUUAUAGCCACAUUCAUUCAACACUCAACAAAUACUUGUGAGCCAUGAAGCCAGGCACGACUCUACGCUCUGGAAAACAGCAGUGAUGACACGGGAAGCUGACGCACAAUAACCCGAGCAACCUGGAGCCUCGUCCAGUCUGGCCUCCAGGAGAGGAAGCAGCUGCUCUCAACACCAGCGCUGUGGAGGCCAGCAGCGCUUCCUCCAAAUCCAGCUCACAACCAAGAGCCCAGACCUCGUUCCACCCCAAGGGUCGGCACCACGCGACGCGGCCGUAACUGGGCGCGCUCACCCCGCAGGCCAGCGGCGAGCAAGGCCACGUCGGGCGAGGCAGGAACGAGCCGGGUGAGUCGGCGACGGCAGGCACUUACUCUGUCGCACAAGUCAGAGCCCUCCGUCUUCAGCCUGGACUGCAGCAGCGCCACCUCGCUGGCCAAGGCCUUGUGCUCCGUCUCCAGGCUCUUCCUGCCACUGUUGAGGGUGGACACGUCCCGCGACUGUUUGUACCUAUUGACUGUCUCGUCAAAGUGACGGUAGAGACCUAGUCUCUUGUUGACCAGGGUCAAGACCUGCUCUGUGAUGCAGGCCACCUUCAUCCUGGCUUCUGCAGCCGGAUCCUGGGGGAGAGACACCAUGUGGGAUGACAUCCAGCCCUGAGCCCACUCCGACCUCCUCCCAAGGAGCACCCACCACUAGCACACAAACGAGAAAAGCCAUCUUCUUGGAAAGUCAGAGAAUCACACUUUCACCGACACUGACCCUGGAACGGUUCAGCCAUGGGCAGGACAGGGGACGAGAAGAUGAAGCAGACGUUCACGUCCAAGUCCAGCAGGACAGACAGACUCGUAUAAAAGGGAUACUAAUGCCAGGGUGCACCGUGAGAGGGGUAUGAGGUACUGAGGGAGGAGAAAUCCCAUCUCGGGCUGGGGAGGGCUUCCAGGACGUGUUUCCAGGGCCUAAAGGAUGAAGCCCAAGCUCCUUAGCCAGCCACGGCACUUUAGACGUGGCCCCAUGUACUCCCCAGAAUCCCUCACCAGUGGGCUACUGCAGAAGCCCUAACUGGGCCUGCUCAAAGGCUGACUCUGGCCUGCAGAAGGUUGGUUUGGCCCAUAAUUCGUUUUUUUUUCCUCAAUAAAUUAUCAAAGCUUUAAAAUAGAGAUGUAUACACAGGAAAUCGGUUGGAUAAACUAUGACCUAUCCAUACAAGAGAGUCCUCUGCAGCUAUAAAAAAAUAACAAGGAAGAAAGCUCUCUUUGAACCGAUAUGAUUGAUUUUCAGGAUACAUUAAGUGAAAAAAACAAAGUGAAAAAUAGAUAUGCUGUUGCUACCUUUUGUGUACAAAAGAAGAAAAUAAGAAUUAAAUAUCUGCCUAUUUUUGCAAAAUAAACAAAUCAGAGAGGCUACCUAGGGGACUGAUGAAAUUGUUCCCUACAAGGCAGGGUGGGACAGCGUGGAGGAAACCGCACCAUUUUCAGGUUCUCAAUUUAGAACUUUGUUAGUGUUUUACAGUAUCACAACCAACAUUAAAUAUUACCAAUGAUGGAGGAAGAAACCAGAAUAAAAUUCAAGCAUAAAUGAACCUAACUACCUUUCAAAUGAGUAACAUGGGAAAGAAGAACAGAGCAACUACCUUGGGAUCACAGUACUUUGACACUAUAGUCUCAAUCUAAAGACAAAAAGAGGGCUUCCCUAGUGGCACAGUGGUUGAGAAUCCGCCUGCUGCCAAUGCAGGGGACAUGGGUUCGAUCCCCGAUACCGGAAGAUACCACAUGCCAUGGAGCAACUAAGCCCGUGCACCACAACUACUGAGCCCGCAUGCCACAACUACUGAAGCCCGGGAGCCUAGAGCCCGUGCUCCACAACAAGAGAAGCCACCACAAUGAGAAGCCCGCGCACCGCAACAAAGAGUAGCCCCUGCUCGCCGCAACUAGAGAAAGCCCGGGCGCAGCAACAAAGACCCAAUGCAGCCAAAAAUAAAUAAAUAAAAUAAAUAAAUUUAUUAAAAAAAAUAAAGACAAAAAGAACUGCCAAGAAACCUGGCGCUCUACUGGUGGGUUUGGUGUUUGUAGUGGUAUGAGUGCAGCAACUGUGGAACUGUUUUGUUUUGUUUAUAGACUUCAGCAAAUAAACACACUGAUGUUGGGAUCCAGGCAAAGAACCCUGCGGUGUUAGACUGGAAUAACUCAUAUUUCAAAUACCACAUGUAUUUAUCUCCCGGCUCUGUCUGCUGAAAGGGCUGAGGAGCAGAGAUGCUCCAAAAGCAGUGAUCACAACCAGCUCCCAGAUCAUGGUCUCCAGGUACCAUUCUGCACUGAAAGGAACCGGAGCUCCUUGGAGAAAGUACAAGACAUGCCGGAAACGUAUUGCUGCACCCUACAAUAAGGAAGUGCUCAAAAAUACGAUGUAGACAGAAAGACAGUCAAACCUGGGACACUUGAGCAUCAAAAGGAACAGCACAGUGGACAGUAAUCCAGUAAAAUAACACAUGAAUCCAAACGAAUAAUGAACCAACCAACCAACAAGAAAAGCUUUUCCUUACAGUAGAAAACCACCUAGUAAGGUAAAAGGCACCAUAGUUUUUCAGCCACCACAACUAUCAGAUUCAGAUAAGAAUUAGCAAUAAAUACUGUAACUAAUGGGUGAAUAUAUAUGAUAUUUAUAUAGAUUCAAACAGAUUAUAUAUUAAUUGCAAAGAGAAAAAUAGUAACUUUACAGUGAAUAAAACAAGAAAGGCACCAACUCAACCAAGGAGAGUCAAUAUCACCAACCCCGGACCAAAUGACAUCAGGUACCUCCCGACGUGAUGCACUGCAGACACAGCACCACUUUAUAAUGUUCUUGCCAAAAAUGCAUCAUCUGAAUUUUCAAGGAGAAACAUGAGAAACCUAAACUACAUACAAAGGCUGAGGAAUGUCCCAGAGUAAAGCAGACUAAGGAAAUAUGACAACUAAAUGCAACGCAUCAUCCUCAACUGAAUUCUGAAGUAUGAAAAAUAACGGCUACAGAAGUUACCCUUGGGGCGAUCAGGAAAAUUUGAGCCUGGACCGGGUGCUGGUUGUUACUAGAGCAACGUCACGUUCCCGACUUCGAUCGUCGUGCUCUGGCUGUGAGAGACGGGGCCCUCGGGGUCAGGCUGUGCACACGCCUAAGUGUUCAAGGGAGGUGGGCAACUUACUCUCAAACGGCUCAGGAAGAGUACACACGACAGAGAGGCCAAAUGUCAACCACUCUGUCCAGGUGAAGCGUGCACAAGAGUUCGUUUUACUAUUCUUGCAAAAUGUCUAAAUGCAGAAUCAUUUUGAAACUCGGGAUUUUUUAAAUUAAUAAAACAAAAGCAAUUUUUAUAGCUUAGAAAAUGGGGAUAUGUCACAAUAAAACCUAGACUCAGCCCUUCUGCGUGACAAGGCUAGCAGCUGCCCCGGUGGCACCCCUACCCCGGGGCAGCCUCACUGGUCUACGGAACCAGCCAGACCAACGUCCUUGCUCGGUCGUACCAACUGCCACCCACAGGCCCCAGCGAAAGCCUGCCAUGCUGUCCCACAAGCUGCUCCCUCCAGCCAAAGGCCCCGCCCCACCUCUUCUGCCGGUCACUUCCCCGGGAGCCUUUCUGGGCACACGCUCUGCCCACCGCCUCUCCCCACAGAACUGGCCACCAGCAGCAACCUGUCUCCUUCAACAGCGCAUGUCUGUGACCAUAGCAACAAAAGGAGGGGUCUCUAGGGUAACGGUCAGCUGAGGCCACAGGCAGGGCAGAGGCGUAUGUCGCGCGGCCAGGCGCUGGGAAAGCGAGUCACGCGCGCUCUGCAGGCGGCCGAGUUGGGUACCUUUGUGAUGGAGAAGUCCAGCCUGACGUAGACGAUGACGGUGAAGAACAGGAUGUAGAAGGCAGCCACCACCAGCAGGGGCUCCUGCAGCAUGAGCACCUUGUUGAAGGUGUAGUGCACCUGGGGGGAGCCAGGAACACCCGCUGACACACAGGUCCGCCCGGACGCGGAAGCCUGGGGGCCAAGGGGCCUCACCAGGCCUACAGCUGUCCGGGCUGCCCCCGCCAUCUGCCCCACCCCCGCCCCCAGAGGCGGCUGUGCCCAAACCACGCCAGGCAAGGAGGAGAGGAUGGCAAGUCCCCGACCCUGCAGCCACUCUGCAGGGAGGAGGCCUGGGAGGCAGGGCUGUGGAGCGCAUACCACCAUGUCCUGAAUGUGCUGUUCCACCAGGUUUUCCUUGCGGGCCACGAUCACGGGGCGGCCAAACGUGUCCAGGUAGGUGUAGUGCAGCUCGCCAGGGGCUCGGCGGAUCUCAUAGGGACUGUCCACUUGGAUGUUCCUGGAUGCCGAUGGGGGGAAACUGAGCCUCAGACAAACUGCACUGACCAGCUAGGUUCACAGUGAGGAUCCAAGGCCCAAGGGGUCUUCCCGGGUCAUGAGUUCUACUCCACUCUGCUCCCCUCCCAUCACAGGGAACACCCGAGCCCCUGAGACCGCGGACCCACUGUCAGAAAGCCCUGAGUAUGAGAAUGUUUUGUCGCCCAUGCCAAGGGCAGGUGGCCCUGUGAGUGUCCACUGGUUUCUGCCAACUGGACUCCUAGAGACGCCGUGGCUCUGUCCUUUCCCAAGCCUGGUUCUUCAACUUAGGCCAACAUUUGAUGAGAUCCCUUACCCUUCAAGAUUCCUUCCUUUCUGCUUAAACUGGCCAAAGACAGCUCCCUGUUUAUAACCAUGGAACCUGAUAUACCAUCUGAGACCACCCUCCCCCCGCACCUUCUGAACCUGGUGUGACACGCCCAGGACAAGACAAAGCCGUCUCCACUAUCCCUCCCCUUCCUAGGAGCACAGCCCAAGGCCACCCAGCUGCCUCAACUCUCCGUUCUCUCCUUUUGCCAGUCACCUCAUCGGACUCAGGCCAUCACUCUGGCCUGCUGUGAAUCCUGCCCCUGUCACAGAAAGGGCUGUGUUGGGAUAGCUCAUAAGUGAAUCUUGUGCCCUCACUGAGUCAAAUGUCUCAGUUUAAACUCCGCCGGAAGCCCCUCCUCUGCGCCCUAGAACCCAACGUCCCCCUGAGGUGCCAAGUGGGCACCACCAGGAAAGGAGACAGGAAGGGAGGUCAGACUCACUUGGCCCCUUCUGGCAGGAUGAUUUUCACAGUCAGAGAGUCUAUCACUUGUUCAUCAAACACGUGGUCCACAAGCCUCAUCUUCAAUGCAUACUGGUCUCC